Molecule: long non-coding RNA, 455 nt
Organism: Oncorhynchus gorbuscha (pink salmon)
Lineage: Eukaryota; Metazoa; Chordata; Actinopteri; Salmoniformes; Salmonidae
Exons: 3
Source: RefSeq, a predicted model, not a curated record
AAGGGAUUGAGCUAUUCAGAAAAGCAACUUGAAAUAAUCAAACAUGAUGAGUUUCGUUGCAAAGUAUAUCAGUGUCCAUGCUGUGAUUUUGGGACUGCUGCUAUCUCAGGCAAUCCCAUGCAAUGUGACGGGAAUGUGGCGAAAUGAGCUGGGCUCUGUGCUUGAUAUUGAGGCGAUCGGUUCUGAGCUCCGAGGCCGUUAUUAGAGUGCAGUGGAGACUGCUCCAGGAGUCACGGGUCCAGAGCAACAGGCCAAGCUACUGGGUGUGACUAGUAAUCGGGGUCUGCAAACCUCUGUGGCUUUCUCUGUGUUAUGGGAGGCAGGUUCCUGUAGCUCUUGGGUUGGUCAGUGUUUCCAACUGCCUGAUGGGAAGCAAGUGCUGAAGACACUGUGGAUGCUGCGCUCUGUGGCUUCAUGCCCUGCAGAUAACUGGAAGAGUACCAGGUAGCCUACAG